GACGAACGCUGGCGGCGUGCCUAAUACAUGCAAGUCGAACGCUUCUUUCCUCCCGAGUGCUUGCACUCAAUUGGAAAGAGGAGUGGCGGACGGGUGAGUAACACGUGGGUAACCUACCCAUCAGAGGGGGAUAACACUUGGAAACAGGUGCUAAUACCGCAUAACAGUUUAUGCCGCAUGGCAUAAGAGUGAAAGGCGCUUUCGGGUGUCGCUGAUGGAUGGACCCGCGGUGCAUUAGCUAGUUGGUGAGGUAACGGCUCACCAAGGCCACGAUGCAUAGCCGACCUGAGAGGGUGAUCGGCCACACUGGGACUGAGACACGGCCCAGACUCCUACGGGGGGCAGCAGUAGGGAAUCUUCGGCAAUGGACGAAAGUCUGACCGAGCAACGCCGCGUGAGUGAAGAAGGUUUUCGGAUCGUAAAACUCUGUUGUUAGAGAAGAACAAGGACGUUAGUAACUGAACGUCCCCUGACGGUAUCUAACCAGAAAGACACGGCUAACUACGUG
RNAcentral lists this ribosomal RNA (508 nucleotides) under uncultured bacterium. RNAcentral's name for it is "partial 16S ribosomal RNA". It matches the Rfam family "Bacterial small subunit ribosomal RNA", at positions 28 to 507 of the family's 1533-position model. The record is from RNAcentral.